GCUGGGCUCAUUAAUUGACGUGACAAGGGCCACGUCAGCUGGCGGAGCUCCGGC
Molecule: microRNA precursor, 54 nt
Filed under: Lotus japonicus
Lineage: Eukaryota; Viridiplantae; Streptophyta; Magnoliopsida; Fabales; Fabaceae
Description: miR11141 stem-loop (lja-MIR11141)
Source: miRBase by way of RNAcentral